GCAUAUCAAUAAGCGGAGGAAAAAGAAACCAACAGGGAUUGCCUCAGUAACGGCGAGUGAAGCGGCAAGAGCUCAAAUUUGAAAUCUGGCCCCUCCGGGGUCCGAGUUGUAAUUUGUAGAGGAUGCUUCGGGUGCGGCCCCCGUCUAAGUGCUCUGGAACGGGCCAUCGGAGAGGGUGAGAAUCCCGUCUGGGACGGGGUGUCCGCGUCCAUGUGAAGCUCCUUCGACGAGUCGAGUUGUUUGGGAAUGCAGCUCUAAAUGGGUGGUAAAUUUCAUCUAAAGCUAAAUACUGGCCGGAGACCGAUAGCGCACAAGUAGAGUGAUCGAAAGAUGAAAAGCACUUUGAAAAGAGAGUUAAACAGCACGUGAAAUUGUUGAAAGGGAAGCGCUUGCGACCAGACUCGCUUCCGGGGUUCAGCCGGCUUUCGGGCCGGUGUACUUCCCCGGGGGCGGGCCAGCGUCGGUUUGGGCGGCCGGUCAAAGGCCCCUGGAAUGUAACGCCCCUCGGGGCGCCUUAUAGCCAGGGGUGUCAUGCGGCCAGCCUGGACCGAGGAACGCGCUUCGGCACGGACGCUGGCAUAAUGGUCGUAAACGACCCGUCUUGAAACACGGACCAAGGAGUCUAACAUCUACGCGAGUGUUCGGGUGUCAAACCCGUGCGCGCAGUGAAAGCGAACGGAGGUGGGAGCCCCCUCGAGGGGCGCACCAUCGACCGAUCCUGAUGUCUUCGGAUGGAUUUGAGUAAGAGCGUAGCUGUGGGGACCCGAAAGAUGGUGAACUAUGCCUGAAUAGGGCGAAGCCAGAGGAAACUCUGGUGGAGGCUCGCAGCGGUUCUGACGUGCAAAUCGAUCGUCAAAUUUGGGUAUAGGGGCGAAAGACUAAUCGAACCAUCUGGUAGCUGGUUCCUGCCGAAGUUUCC
RNAcentral lists this ribosomal RNA (919 nucleotides) under Aspergillus proliferans. RNAcentral describes it as "LSU rRNA". It matches the Rfam family "Eukaryotic large subunit ribosomal RNA", at positions 38 to 971 of the family's 3401-position model. The record is from RNAcentral. Lineage: Eukaryota; Fungi; Ascomycota; Eurotiomycetes; Eurotiales; Aspergillaceae.